This is a long non-coding RNA of Oncorhynchus tshawytscha (Chinook salmon), 974 nucleotides long. RefSeq lists it as uncharacterized. The record is from RefSeq and is a predicted model, not a curated record. Lineage: Eukaryota; Metazoa; Chordata; Actinopteri; Salmoniformes; Salmonidae. The transcript has 4 exons.
CUUCCUCAUUUAGGUUUAGUCAUUUGUCAAAGUAUGGCGACUGUGCGUUUCACCCUCUCUAUUCUACUAACUCUCCUCCAUCAAGCAGAGCCCAGUGCUGAGACCUCUGUGUUUAUUUCAGAGCCCAGUGCUGAGACCUCUGUGUUUGUGCUGAAGGGACAGGAUGUUCUCCUGAAUGUCCAGACAAAUGUUCAACUGAAAGAUGUUGAUGUGCUAUUUUGGAAGUUUAACACAUCAACCAAUGUUAUAAAGUACCCCCCAAAAGUUACCUUUGAAAGGUACCGAGGUAGGGCUGAAUUUAGUGAGGGAGACUUAUGUCUGCUACUGAAGAACCUCCAGGAAGGAGACAGUGGACUUUAUGAUGCAGUAGUGAGUGGUAACAAUGACAAACGUUGCUACAUACUUGAUAAAAGUCCAAGGUGACAAAGAGGAAAUUAUAAACAGAGUAUGCUACAGUCAGGACUCCAGGUAACAGUCAUGUAGGUGGUGAAGAGCAGGAAUCUACAGGUCCAGCAUCACCCUCCAUCUACAGUAUGGUGGGACUACCCCAACCCCAGCCUGUUAACCACCAGCCUUUGCCUGUGGACCUCCCCAUGGCCACCAUGACCUCCAUGCCUGAGAGUUUAUAUGCUGUGGUGGGGGAAAGACUAGCCAACAAUAAUAAUGAAUUUUAACAUUAUUCUAGGCUGGGAUUAACUCCGAUUUUAUUAGAUUGCCCUUUGUUGGCUAAGCAUCUUUUUAAAGCCAAUGUUCCUGCAUUCUCUGAGACAGCUUGCACAAUAAAUGCUGCAUAUGCUAGCUAAAUCGGAAAUGAUCUGUAAAUGGUGCCUAGAUGCAGUGGUGACCCAUCAUUCAGGGCAGGUGUUUUGAGCCCAACAUUUUUAGCAAUGGGCUUGCCUGUUUUGCAUGUUAUUUUGGCAUUAAUACGUGUCACAUAUCAGUUUGCAAACAAUGUAAAAAAAUAAAUAAAUAUC